Molecule: ribosomal RNA, 407 nt
Filed under: uncultured bacterium
Lineage: Bacteria
Description: partial 16S ribosomal RNA
Rfam family: Bacterial small subunit ribosomal RNA
Source: RNAcentral
GACGAACGCUGGCGGCGCGCUUAACACAUGCAAGUCGAGCGAAGCGGCGGACGGGUGAGUAACACGUGAGUAACCUGCCUUAGACAUUGGGAUAGCCUCGGGUAACCGGGAUUAAUACCAAAUGGUCUAAGAUGGACUCGAGUCCCCUUAGCUAGUUGGUGAGGUAACGGCCCACCAAGGCGACGAUGGGUAGCCGGCCUGAGAGCGGGGCCGGCCACAUUGGAACUGAGAAACGGUCGAAAAUCUACGGGAGGCAGGAGUGGUGAAUAUUGCACAAUGGAGGGAACUCUGAUGCAGCGACGCUGCGUGAACGAAGUAGGCUUUCGAGUCGUAAAGUUCUUUUAUAUGGGAAGCGGUACCAGAAGAAAAAGCCCCGGCUAACUACGUGCCAGCAGCCGCGGUAAUUC